This 565-nucleotide ribosomal RNA is filed under the name Sphingomonas sanguinis. RNAcentral's name for it is "bacterial SSU rRNA". It matches the Rfam family "Bacterial small subunit ribosomal RNA", at positions 66 to 677 of the family's 1533-position model. Lineage: Bacteria; Pseudomonadati; Pseudomonadota; Alphaproteobacteria; Sphingomonadales; Sphingomonadaceae. The record is from RNAcentral.
ACGAAGGCUUCGGCCUUAGUGGCGCACGGGUGCGUAACGCGUGGGAAUCUGCCCUUUGGUUCGGAAUAACAGCUGGAAACGGCUGCUAAUACCGGAUGAUGACGAGAGUCCAAAGAUUUAUCGCCAGAGGAUGAGCCCGCGUUGGAUUAGGUAGUUGGUGGGGUAAAGGCCUACCAAGCCGACGAUCCAUAGCUGGUCUGAGAGGAUGAUCAGCCACACUGGGACUGAGACACGGCCCAGACUCCUACGGGAGGCAGCAGUGGGGAAUAUUGGACAAUGGGCGAAAGCCUGAUCCAGCAAUGCCGCGUGAGUGAUGAAGGCCCUAGGGUUGUAAAGCUCUUUUACCCGGGAAGAUAAUGACUGUACCGGGAGAAUAAGCCCCGGCUAACUCCGUGCCAGCAGCCGCGGUAAUACGGAGGGGGCUAGCGUUGUUCGGAAUUACUGGGCGUAAAGCGCACGUAGGCGGCUUUGUAAGUCAGAGGUGAAAGCCUGGAGCUCAACUCCAGAACUGCCUUUGAGACUGCAUCGCUUGAAUCCAGGAGAGGUCAGUGGAAUUCCGAGUGUA